This 253-nucleotide ribosomal RNA is filed under the name uncultured bacterium. Its description in RNAcentral is "partial 16S ribosomal RNA". It matches the Rfam family "Bacterial small subunit ribosomal RNA", at positions 524 to 776 of the family's 1533-position model. The record is from RNAcentral.
UACGAAGGGGGCUAGCGUUGCUCGGAAUCACUGGGCGUAAAGGGUGCGUAGGCGGGUCUUUAAGUCAGGGGUGAAAUCCUGGAGCUCAACUCCAGAACUGCCUUUGAUACUGAAGAUCUUGAGUUCGGGAGAGGUGAGUGGAACUGCGAGUGUAGAGGUGAAAUUCGUAGAUAUUAGGAAGAACACCAGUGGCGAAGGCGGCUCACUGGUCCGGUACUGACGCUGAGGUGCGACAGCGUGGGGAGCAAACAGG